UUCGCAAUGCCCGAAAGGGUGACGAUGCGACGCCGCGUGAGCGAAGAAGGCCCUAGGGUUGUAAAGCUCUGUCGAGGGUUAUGAAAUAUAGAUGGGUUAAUACCCCAUUUAUUUGACAAAAGCCCAAAAGGAAGCCACGGCUAACUCUGUGCCAGCAGCCGCGGUAAUACAGAGGUGGCGAGCGUUGUUCGGUAUUAUUGGGCGUAAAGAGCACGUAGGUGGUUUUGUAAGUCAGGUGUGAAAGCCUUCUGUUCAAAGGAAGAACGGCAUCUGAAACUGCAGAUCUUGAGUGUAGGAGGGGAGAGUGGAACUUCUGGUGGAGCGGUGAAAUGCGUAGAUAUCAGAAGGAACGUCGGCGGCGAAAGCGACUCUCUGGCCUAUUACUGACGCUGAGGUGCGAAAGUUAGGGGAGCAAACGGGAUUAGAUACCCCGGUAGUCCUAACCGUAAACGGUGGGCACUAAGUAGAGGGGUUUU
RNAcentral lists this ribosomal RNA (476 nucleotides) under uncultured anaerobic ammonium-oxidizing bacterium. RNAcentral's name for it is "bacterial SSU rRNA". It matches the Rfam family "Bacterial small subunit ribosomal RNA", at positions 365 to 832 of the family's 1533-position model. The record is from RNAcentral.